RNAcentral lists this ribosomal RNA (484 nucleotides) under uncultured bacterium. RNAcentral's name for it is "partial 16S ribosomal RNA". It matches the Rfam family "Bacterial small subunit ribosomal RNA", at positions 30 to 507 of the family's 1533-position model. The record is from RNAcentral.
AUUGAACGCUGGCGGCAGGCCUAACACAUGCAAGUCGAGCGGAUGAAGGGAGCUUGCUCCUGGAUUCAGCGGCGGACGGGUGAGUAAUGCCUAGGAAUCUGCCUGGCAGUGGGGGAUAACGUCCGGAAACGGGCGCUAAUACCGCAUACGUCCUGAGGGAGAAAGUGGGGGAUCUUCGGACCUCACGCUAUUUGAUGAGCCUAGGCCGGAUUAGCUAGUUGGUGGGGUAAAGGCCUACCAAGGCGACGAUCCGUAACUGGUCUGAGAGGAUGAUCAGUCACACUGGAACUGAGACACGGUCCAGACUCCUACGGGAGGCAGCAGUGGGGAAUAUUGGACAAUGGGCGAAAGCCUGAUCCAGCCAUGCCGCGUGUGUGAAGAAGGUCUUCGGAUUGUAAAGCACUUUUAGUUGGGAGGAAAAGCAGUAAGUUAAUACCUUGCUGUUUUGACGUUACCAACAGAAUAAGCACCGGCUAACUUCGUG